UACAGAGACCUCAAGCGUUAUCCGGAUUUAUUGGGCGUAAAGCGUAUGUAGGCGGUCUGGUUAGUCAGAUGUCAAAGACCGGGGCUCAACCCCGGAAAGGCAUUUGAAACGGUCAGACUAGAGAAUGUGAGAGAUGACUGGAAUUCAUGGUGUAGUAGUGAAAUGCGUUGAUAUCAUGAGGAACACUCAAGGCGAAGGCAAGUCAUUGGUGCAUUUCUGACGCUGAGAUACGAAAGCGUGGGGAGCGAAUGGG
RNAcentral lists this unclassified non-coding RNA (253 nucleotides) under uncultured Parcubacteria group bacterium. Its description in RNAcentral is "contains 16S-23S intergenic spacer region". It matches the Rfam family "Bacterial small subunit ribosomal RNA", at positions 524 to 776 of the family's 1533-position model. The record is from RNAcentral.